UGCUAUUGAGAAUGAAAAGCCUGAUAAACUAUCACAGCUCUUUUAAAGCCACGGCUCACUUCUCACCUCAUCUUUUUUUUCCCCCUAUGUUUUUUUUCCUCUUUUUUUUACUGUUAGUCACGCCUCACUCAGUAUGUGCUGUAUGAGCCACGAACAUUGCACACUUAGUGGUAAGGCAAAUCAAUGCAGUCAUGCACUAAAUCAACACAUCUAAUGUUGCUCCAUGUCAAGUGUGGUUGUUGUCAGUGUCAGGGAGUUAGCAGGCAGAAUAUAAUAUACUUACCAUGUGUCUUUGCUAGGUCUCGCACUGAUACAUCAAAAGGCCUCCGUCCAUCUGUCUCACUAGGACCAGAACAUCAUCAAAUUACUACCAAAUGAAUCUACUUAAAUCAGCAAAUUUGCAGUUGUUACCAUCUGUAAAUUCAGCUAACGUCUCACAUUGUUACCAAGGAGGUCUGGCGCCUGCUGAUGAAUGAGGGAUCAAUAAUCCUGUGGAAGGAAGCCAAGAAAUUAUCCAGGAGUUGAGCCUUUACGGUUCAGAGCCGAUGAUGCCACAGGCGAACGCCGGGGAAACACGUGAGCCUUGAGUUAAAAGAAAAGACUUCACCCAGACCGCAGUUAUUACU
Molecule: long non-coding RNA, 626 nt
Organism: Oreochromis aureus
Lineage: Eukaryota; Metazoa; Chordata; Actinopteri; Cichliformes; Cichlidae
Exons: 3
Source: RefSeq, a predicted model, not a curated record